RNAcentral lists this ribosomal RNA (484 nucleotides) under uncultured bacterium. RNAcentral describes it as "partial 16S ribosomal RNA". It matches the Rfam family "Bacterial small subunit ribosomal RNA", at positions 30 to 507 of the family's 1533-position model. The record is from RNAcentral.
AUUGAACGCUGGCGGCAGGCCUAACACAUGCAAGUCGAACGGUAGAAGGGAACAUGUUGCUGUUUCGCGGGCGGGUCGCGGACGGAAGGCCUAUGAAUGUGCCAGGGAGUGGUGGAUAACGUUCACUAAUGGACACUGAAGCCGAUAACGCAUAACGUCACAAGAUCAGAGAGCUGCGCAUUCCAGGCUCUUAGCUUAGGCUAGGUCGGAUUAGCUAGUAGGUGGGGUAAGGGCAUACCAAGGCGACGAUCCGUAACUGGUCUGAGAGGAUGAUCAGUCACACUGGAACUGAGACACGGUCCAGACUCCUACGGGAGGCAGCAGUGGGGAAUAUUGGACAAUGGGUGAAAGCCUGAUGCAGCCAUGCCGCGUGUAUGAAGAAGGUCUUCGGGUUGUAAAGUACUUUCAGCGGGGAGGAAGGGCGGUAAGUUAAUACCUUGCUGCAUUGACGUUACCAGCAGAAGAAGCACCGGCUAACUUCGUG